AUGAACGCUGGCGGCGUGCCUAAUACAUGCAAGUCGAGCGAACGGACGAGAAGCUUGCUUCUCUGAUGUUAGCGGCGGACGGGUGAGUAACACGUGGAUAACCUACCUAUAAGACUGGGAUAACUUCGGGAAACCGUAGCUAAUACCGGAUAAUAUUUUGAACCGCAUGGUUCAAAAGUGAAAGACGGUCUUGCUGUCACUUAUAGAUGGAUCCGCGCUGCAUUAGCUAGUUGGUAAGGUAACGGCUUACCAAGGCAGCGAUGCAUAGCCGACCUGAGAGGGUGAUCGGCCACACUGGAACUGAGACACGGUCCAGACUCCUACGGGAGGCAGCAGUAGGGAAUCUUCCGCAAUGGGCGAAAGCCUGACGGAGCAACGCCGCGUGAGUGAUGAAGGUCUUCGGAUCGUAAAACUCUGUUAUUAGGGAAGAACAUAUGCGUAAGUAACUGUGCACAUCUUGACGGUACCUAAUCAGAAAGCCACUGCUAACUACGUG
This 496-nucleotide ribosomal RNA is filed under the name uncultured bacterium. RNAcentral's name for it is "partial 16S ribosomal RNA". It matches the Rfam family "Bacterial small subunit ribosomal RNA", at positions 29 to 507 of the family's 1533-position model. The record is from RNAcentral.